This is a long non-coding RNA of Setaria italica (foxtail millet), 600 nucleotides long. RefSeq lists it as uncharacterized. The record is from RefSeq and is a predicted model, not a curated record. Lineage: Eukaryota; Viridiplantae; Streptophyta; Magnoliopsida; Poales; Poaceae. The transcript is spliced from 3 exons.
GUCUGGCUCUGUGUAUGAUGAAGGAACUGAAGCGACCGAAUGGUUCUCCGCUUACUUUGGGAAGCCAAGUCUACUAGUGCGCUUCAAAGAAGCAUCGGAAACUAGACCAACUGAUCCUGAUUAUGCCCCAAGGUUACAAGAUCAUGUUUAUAGAUUGUUUCCCGUUCCUGGUAGCCUCUCAGGGCUCACUGGAUGCACUAAAUGAGAUUCUUAAAAGAACCUGCACCAAUGAACCACUUCAUCCCUCAUCGACUCGUUUUUUUCCCAUCCCGAUAUCUCCUUUGUUUGUCUUCGUCUUGAUAUCUCCUAUGUUAAUCUUAUUUCUUGGCGAUUUGGAAAGGCAUUCAGUGGGAGCAGGUGAUGAGAACAAGACAGGGACAUCAGAACCCUCUUUUUGGGCAUGAUAGACUGAAGUCUUCAAUGGGAAUCUCUCUGAUGCUUUUGCUUUCCCAUAACCAAAUCGACAUCUCUUUGGAUCUCUUGGAUCUUUGGUUCUUGAGUGUUUGUUUGAAUCUGCUGUUCUCAGGCAAUUUUUCGACUGGCUGCCGAUGAUGCACAAAAACAUGCACGUAUUAUCGGAUUGUUUCAUGACGAUCUACA